CGGACUCGUCCUCAUGAGGAGUAAAAGCUGCAGGAUACCAGCUGCCACUUGGAAGCAGUCUUGCUGCACCAUGGCUACCACCUCAGCGGAUAGUUCUGGUAGCUAUGAAAAGGGGCAGGUGGAGUUGAGCCAGAGUUCCAGGAGCUCUGUUUUUGACUACUCAGAAGAUACCUUUGAGUCCUUCAGCGAGGAGGAAGCAGCCUGCUGCCAGCGUGAGAGCGAACCACCUGAACUGUGUUGCUCUGUAGAGGAUGUAGAGUCUUCUGCCGUGUCGGAUGGGUUAGAAAGCAAGUCAUUUCUGGCAGGCCAAAAUCACACAGAUGAGCAGUCUGAAGUAGUUGGUUCUGCGGCUGUGGAAAGAUAUUUCAUGAGAAAAUGGAUGGAAGUUCUAAAAAAUAAGGAAGCUGUCAUUAAGCAAGGCAAAUCUGUCAUCAAAACUCAUUCUGUAAUUGACACUUGCUUUGUUGAUGUGUGGCUAACAGAAGUUGCUGAGUUCCCAGAUGAAGAACUGGAUGCUCUCCGGUCUUUUUGCACCGUUAAGGUCAGAAGGAUGCAUCAGGGGCUGAUCCCUAAGCAGGCAAGUGGGGUCAGGUCAAGGAAGCUGCAGCAUGGAUUCACGUCAAAGAAAUCAGAGACAAGUGACUUGAACUGCACAGUUCCUGGUCAGUUAAUGAAUAGAAUCCGCCUGAAGAACAUCAGGGAGACCAUUAAACAGGUGACAGAAGCUCAAGUGCACCAAUCUUCACAGUGCCCUGACUGUAAGAAGAAGAAGGCAGAGCUAGCUGAGAUCACCUUUCUCAGACAAAAGAAGGCACUAGUGGAAAGAGCUUUACUCCAGGAAAAAUUGGAAGAACAAUUUUAUUCCAGAGAUGCGAUUACUCUUAUAGGAAAAACACUCGGAAGCUUUCCCAAACUAUCAGAGGAUCCCAGGAACUUAUGGCAAAGGCUGAAAGACAAAGCUGAAGGAAGGACUGAGUUCUGUGAACGUCCGAAAUCUCCAGCUUUAUUGGAAGGAUGAGGGCCAAAAUUACAGAUUGUCCUUUCUCUUAGAAAUUCAAACUACAGUGACAAAUUGAAGCACAUCAGAUACCAGCAUCAUGUAGGUACCUGAUACAAAGAGAUUACUCCCAAGGAGACCGGCAGCGGCCGCCCCCCUGCUGAUGUUGCCUGGAAGCCCAGCCAGGAGGCAUUGUGGCCGGGCUCUUCUGCGGAGCUGCUUUCUGGGAUGGGACUGCAGGAAAAGGGAGUUCUGGUCAAUCCCUAUCUCCAUCUCUCUAUCUUGCUUCUACCCACCCAUGUAUUUGGAAACGAGGGUUUAAUAUUUUGUCUUAAUUAACAGAGGAGGAGCUUGAUAUAUCUCUGGGGCAGCCUCUAGAGGAAGGCGCUGUGCACUGAUGGGUGUAGCGUUGUUCUGAUUGCACCAGCUUGAGAGGAGCCCAGAUUUAGGGUACCAAGAAUGCUCAAACCACUUCAAUCCUCCUCUGCUUCUGGAGAGCAGCUGUGUGUUUGUAUUCUAGUGUUCCUUGCAUCGUUUCUUUUGAAGACUGGACUAGCUGUACCUGCUGUUUGCUUCUACCCACAGCAAUCCACGCCACCCUCCCAGCACAUUUUCUCUUAUGCUUCGGGGGCAGUCUGCAAACAGAAACUCUGUUUUCUGCUUCCUGUGCAUCCGUCUCUGUUCUCCCUUCCCAUGCCAAGAGAUCUGCGUGCCUUCCCUUAGCACUUGACUAAUUAUCGGUUGACUGUUCCGUUCCUGAGCUUUCCUCAAGCUUUUUGCUUAAGCUCUGCUUUGCAGUUGCAGUUGGUUGGUAACGGUUUGCCAAACGUAACGCUGUCAGCUGUCCACGUCUCCAGCUUUUUUGGUCUUCCCUUCUAAGGUACCAGCGCUUCGAGUCCUGAAGGGAGGAACUGAAAGCUGUCGGAGCGGUAACGUUUGUCACCGUUAUUAGUUUUGUUUUCCUCUAUUAAAAUGUAUGCAUGUUUGGCCAAGUUACGCAUACUAGUACAGUACAGACAGUGAGUUGUUCAAAAAAGUUAACGUGAGCCUGUGAGGAUCAAUAGGCUAGUGUCCUACAACCUGUGGCAAACACAGCCUCCUUCAGAGGGCAGUUGCAGGGAGAAGUCUCGUUUAGUCCCUCUGAAUUGAGCGACUAAAUCAGUAGAAGUCCAUGACAGCCUGCCCUUAAGUCCAAGCUUUCAUCUGCACUGCUUAUUCUCUUCGUAACCACAUCGCAAAGUCUUGCUGUUAACACAGUUAAGUGUGGUCUUGGAGAACUUGCUUUAAUUUCUGCCUUUAUCUUUUCGAAGUGUUCAUUAACUGCAUGUUCCCCAUUUUCUGGAUACUCAAGGUGAUACCUGAUUUGCAACAGCUCUGUGUACUUAGGUCUUCAGCUGGAACCGAGAUUUCUGCAUUUAAAGCACCAUACAGUGUUAAGCAUGCUACAAAAAGAGUGCUCUCAUUUUCUAAAUUGGAUAUCCACGUUAAUGAAUACUUUUACAACACACAACCUUUCUGAUCAUUUUUUCAGCAGUGUAUCCAGAUGGAAUGGAAGCGCUGGGACAAUAAAUUAAGCAAAACUGUAUUACUAAUGCGUACCUUAGAAAAGCCAUGAAUAAAUGUAUCGUGUGCUCGCAGAGUAGAGUUUGAGUUUGGUGAAACAAAGUGGGUUAAACUAAGCAGAGAUGAAAUGAUCUUGUUCUAUAAUAAAGCAUUCAAUCAGGGAGUUGCUCAGCUGUUUCUGAGUAACCCCCUGUGGAGGCAAGCCAUCAGAAACGGGCUACACGCUAAACAACAAGAAGAAAACAAAUUCUGAAAAGCUGCUCAUUAACUGAGAAUCAUCCACCCUUUACGCUGAACGAGGCAAGGGUCCUGUGGAAAAAAUAACGUGGUCAUGUAAGUGAAGGCGGUAGCGCUGCGAAACGCAAGCGAUUCAAAUUAAGGUUGCGUUGGCAAUUGUAAUUCUGCAAUUUCUGAACUUCUGGCUAUUUGACUUAGCAUCCUCUAUAAUGUUCUUUUAACUUGGAAUAUUGUGUGUAAUAUCCAUAAAUGUUGUUUUUAAAUAAAACUGGUUUGUCUCCAAGUCAUGUCAUUUUCACACUGCCUGCUGUCACCGUUUCUAAAGGAGAAGCAGCUGGUGUGCUAAAAGAAGUUCUGGACUUUGAAAUCCUGCAAGGUUAGGAACUGAGUGGUUGGAGGGAGAUAUUUACAGAAGAUGUCAUCUUUUUUGGUCUGCUAGAUUACUCCCACUGUUUUCUCCACUGUGUUUAAUGGAGCAAAGUGUAAACAUUUGCUGUGAGGUGCUUUGUGUCCGUAGUCUGCGAGUAACCCUAACAGGAGCUUGGUGGGGUUCCACGGUUGUGGUUUCUCCGUCCAAUGUUCUCGCUUCAUGAACAGAAAUUUGGGGUUCUUCAUAACUGUCAGCUGCAGUGUGGCAUCUGAGAGUCAAACCGAGCUCUGCUGGCUCAAACGUUAGCAGCAGGACAGAUUCUGUAAUCCCGACUUGGUUAAGUGCUCUGUUUGUUGUGUUUGGAGCAGAACAGAAUCCAGUUCCCGCUCGGAUCGCUGCGCAGGCUCCGUCAUGAGAAAUACAAAAUACCCAGAGUGGAUGGUGAGCGUUACAGUGAGCAGGUGCGUGUUUGACUACAGGGCCCAGGUCUAGUAAGAAGAAAAAACACAUGCUCCUCAUUUACUUGUUUAUUUUACUUGUUUACAAAAGCCAUUUUAAGGUAUCUCCUUAGUUACUUAAGGACAUUUUAAUCUAGCAGUAGUUUUGUGUUCGUAGUUACAUGAAAUAUAAAUGUUCGGUUUCUCUUGC
Molecule: RNA transcript, 3815 nt
Organism: Oxyura jamaicensis (ruddy duck)
Lineage: Eukaryota; Metazoa; Chordata; Aves; Anseriformes; Anatidae
Gene: C4H8orf48
Gene name: chromosome 4 C8orf48 homolog
Exons: 9
Source: RefSeq, a predicted model, not a curated record